This 403-nucleotide ribosomal RNA is filed under the name uncultured bacterium. RNAcentral's name for it is "partial 16S ribosomal RNA". It matches the Rfam family "Bacterial small subunit ribosomal RNA", at positions 30 to 526 of the family's 1533-position model. The record is from RNAcentral.
AUUGAACGCUGGCGGCAGGCCUAAUACAUGCAAGUCGAACGCAGUGGGGACGGGUGCGUAACACGUGGGUAACCUCCCAUCAGAGGGGAUAACACUUGGAAACAGGUGCUAAACCGAUACUGAUGGAUGGACCCGCGGUGCAUUAGCUAGUUGGUGAGGUAACGGCUAACCAAGGCCACGAUGCAUAGCGGGCCUGAGAGGGUGAUCGGCCACACUGGGACUGAGACACGGCCCAGACUCCUACGGGAGGCAGCAGUAGGGAAUCUUGGGCAAUGGACGAAAGUCUGAUUGAGCAACGCCGCGUGAAGGAAGAAGGUUUUCGGAUCGUAAAACUCUGUUGGUAGAGAAGCGGUAUCUAACCAGAAAGCAACGGCUAACUACGUGCCAGCAGCCGCGGUAAUAC